Molecule: long non-coding RNA, 951 nt
Organism: Vicia villosa (hairy vetch)
Lineage: Eukaryota; Viridiplantae; Streptophyta; Magnoliopsida; Fabales; Fabaceae
Exons: 6
Source: RefSeq, a predicted model, not a curated record
GUGGACAAGAAAACAUCAACCGACCGAACCCGGUCCGGCCCGUGCGUUUUUUGAGCUUUUGGAUCGGAUCGGUUCGGACCGUCGGGUCGUCGGGUGGUUACAAAGGGUUGAGGCGGUUUAGUUUGGUCGGAAACGGUUUGUAUUCUUGGGCCCGUCGGAAUCCUAAUCCGACCGAGUCCAUUAAUGUUUUUAUGGGCCUUGUACUCCAACCAACCCAGUCCAUGUUCAACUUGCUACUUAACCUUCUUAUCAUUUCCUAACCCUAAAUCUCAGCCUUCAUGUGAAAUCUGCGCCGCACUCCAUCCUAGUACAAAGAUUUUUGUGUGUUUUGUAUCCCUUCAUGUGUAACAGUCUUUCACCGUCCACAAAUGUUUUGUCUUCACGCCUCUAUAUCUUCAUUUCACCGAUGAUUCCUACUAUUAUCUCAAUAUUCAAAAGGUCUAAAGGGGAUUGAAAGCAGAUCUAUUUGUGAUUUCUAAAGUUAAGUUUUUGUUUUUUUUAAAGUGUGUUCUGUUGUUGUGUUUUAUUCUCAGGUGAUGAACUGAUUUGAAGCCAUGAGAGGUGAUUCAAGUGCUUGAAUGAAAUGAAGACAACAUAUACUGGAAAGAUCUCUAAAGUUUUCAGAGAUUACAUAGAUUAUAUGGCCUUGAAAAGAAAACUCAAGUUCUAAAAACAUAAGGACGCCGUAGAAUCAGGACUUGCAGGUGUUAAUAUAAUUUGUAGGAAGAGUUGUUUACAGGGCCUCAACCUGAGAACCAUUGCAGACCAAACAUAAUGUCCUGCAAUAGAGUAUUUUCCAUACCAGUUCUGGAUUUGAAAUGAUUUAAAUAUGCUGAAGAAUUAAUGAAUUUGGGCUUUGAGGAAUGGAGAUAAUUUAUUAUUUGUAUUGUGUAUGUUAUUGUAAUAUUAUAUCAUAUUUUAUUGAAUUUUUUAUUUUUGUUAUUUAGAAAU